CAGCUCCUCCUGAAACACACCAACACAUGCAGUCAGUUAUUCAAAGUGUGUCUUCAGCACAAUUUCUUUUUAAUCAAUUCAAAACAGAGUUUCUUAAUUACUUUUAGGGCUGCAACAACGAAUCGAUAAAAUCGAUAAUAAUCGAUUAUUAAAAGCGUUGGCAGCGAAUUUCAUUAUCGAUUCGCCAUGUCGCGGAGCCGUCUACUUCACCUGCAGAGCUUUGUCAAUGCUGGCUGACGGAAGUUUUUUUUUUUUUUUUUUUUUUUUUAAUAAAUAAAUCCACCUGUAGAGCGAAUUAAACAGAGCGAGGUGGCGGCAAAGCGAACGUAAAUUCAGAGUAAAUUCAAAGAAACAUGACCGACACGGAGAAAACAGUUAGACCGAAAUCCUCAAAAGUGUGGCAGCAUUUCACGCUUCACAAAACAAAAAACGCGUAACUGCAAGCUUUACAAAAGUAAUACGAGAUGGAACAGGAGCACCACGAUGAUGAUGCAGCACCUGAAACGGAACAUGUCACAGACGAGGACGAAGGAGCUCAACAGCAGCAAAAAAUGACAGGCUUCAUGAUGAGAAAGACAUCAUGUCCACCACAGCAAGCAGCUGUCUUGACUGAUCAUCAUUGACACGAGGCCUCUGUUGAUGGUUGAAGACAAAGGCUUCACUACAGUGAUCUUAUUUACUCUGUGAGUCCAAAUCUUCUCUUUCGGAAUAAAGCGGCGGAAAUUAAAAAUGUGUUUUUUUUGUUUUUUUU
Amphiprion ocellaris (clown anemonefish) is the source of this 751-nucleotide long non-coding RNA. RefSeq lists it as uncharacterized. Lineage: Eukaryota; Metazoa; Chordata; Actinopteri; Pomacentridae. The record is from RefSeq and is a predicted model, not a curated record. The transcript has 2 exons.